CAGAGGUCCCAAGCGUUGUUCGGAUUUACUGGGCGUAAAGGGUGCGUAGGCGGUUGUUUAAGUCUGACGUGAAAUCUCCGGGCCUAACCCGGAAACUGCGUUGGAUACUAUUCAACUAGAGGAAUGGAGGGGAGACUGGAAUACUUGGUGUAGCAGUGAAAUGCGUAGAUAUCAAGUGGAACACCAGUGGCGAAGGCGAGUCUCUGGACAUUUCCUGACGCUGAGGCACGAAAGCCAGGGGAGCAAACGGGAUUAGAUACCCCGGUAGUCCUGGCCCUAAACGGUGCGCGUUUGCUGUAAGUGGAAUCGACCCCACUCGUGGCGUAGUUAACACGUUAAACGCGCCGCCUGGGAAGUACGGCCGCAAGGUUA
This 372-nucleotide ribosomal RNA is filed under the name uncultured organism. Its description in RNAcentral is "bacterial SSU rRNA". It matches the Rfam family "Bacterial small subunit ribosomal RNA", at positions 526 to 896 of the family's 1533-position model. The record is from RNAcentral.